AGAGUUUGAUCAUGGCUCAGGAUGAACGCUAGCGGCAGGCCUAAUACAUGCAAGUCGAACGGAAAGUUGAGUAGCAAUACUUAACCUAGAGUGACGUACGGGUGCGUAACACGUAUGCAACCUACACUUUACAGGAGAAUAGCCACCAGAAAGGGGGAUUAACACUUCAUGGUAUUAAGAUAAGGCAUCUUAACGUAAUUAAAUUCGCGCGGAGGUUAAGGAUGGGAAUGCGGCUGAUUAGCUAGGUGGUAGGGUAACGGCCUACCAAGGAGAUGAUCAGUAGGGGAACUGAGAGGUUGACCCCCCACACUGGCACGGAGAUACGGGCCAGACGCCUACGGGAGGCAGCAGUAGGGAAUAUUGGUCAAUGGGUGAGAGCCUGAACCAGCCAUGCCGCGUGCAGGAAGAAGGCCCUACGGGUUGUAAACUGCUUUAGUCAGGGGCUAAAGAGCUUUAUGCGUAGAGCGUUGAAGGUACCUGAAGAAUAAGCCACGGCUAACUACGUGCCAGCAGCCGCGGUAAUAC
This 525-nucleotide ribosomal RNA is filed under the name uncultured bacterium. RNAcentral describes it as "partial 16S ribosomal RNA". It matches the Rfam family "Bacterial small subunit ribosomal RNA", at positions 8 to 526 of the family's 1533-position model. The record is from RNAcentral.